GUCAUUGUGUAUUGUGUUAGUUGCGGUUUCAUUAUGACAUGUCAGUUGCAGGGAGCUUUUCAGAUAGUUUCAUUUUAUAGUUUCACAUACACAAUUUAACGAGUCUUGAAGAUUUAGAAACUUCGACGACCGCAUUUCGUAUGAACGAUUUUCAUAAAUUAUCUUUGGUUCGAAGUCCUGCAUUACACAUUUCCAAACAUCUGCGAUGGUAGCUAACUUUCACAAUAUAGGACGUUAUUUCAUUUCUGUGCUGUAAAACUGGAUGUAGUGUCACACUAUAAUUUUCGGCCUUGUGAUACCCUGUUUACAUCCCUGAUGGCAUCAAACUGCAUCCAAUUUACACCUCCACAACACAGUAUCUUGUGUAUUUCUUCCUGCUAUUGUUACCUUAAUAGGACUGGCAGCCUGCACUAGUCUCCAUGCUCAAGCUAAUUAACUCCAAACUCUGCCCUCAACAACUGAGUUUCCUGAGGGGACACCUGCUAAAUGCAGCUGAUGGGGCUGCCACGUGUGUUAGUGACCACUGAGGUCGAAAUUGAGUCUGAUUUGUAAUGGAAGUUGUUGCUUCCUUGACUGAUGUAGCGACCAGAAAAUUGCCUACAGUUGUGG
This is a long non-coding RNA of Schistocerca nitens (vagrant locust), 609 nucleotides long. RefSeq lists it as uncharacterized. The transcript has 4 exons. The record is from RefSeq and is a predicted model, not a curated record. Lineage: Eukaryota; Metazoa; Arthropoda; Insecta; Orthoptera; Acrididae.